Molecule: ribosomal RNA, 973 nt
Filed under: Saccharomycetales sp. LM468
Lineage: Eukaryota; Fungi; Ascomycota; Saccharomycetes; Saccharomycetales
Description: eukaryotic LSU rRNA
Rfam family: Eukaryotic small subunit ribosomal RNA (bases 1-360)
Source: RNAcentral
CCUUAGAGUUCGGGCCGCACGCGCGCUACACUGACGGAGCCAGCGAGUAUUAACCUUGGCCGAGAGGUCUGGGAAAUCUUGUGAAACUCCGUCGUGCUGGGGAUAGAGCAUUGUAAUUAUUGCUCUUCAACGAGGAAUUCCUAGUAAGCGCAAGUCAUCAGCUUGCGUUGAUUACGUCCCUGCCCUUUGUACACACCGCCCGUCGCUACUACCGAUUGAAUGGCUUAGUGAGGCCUCCGGAUUGGUUUAAAGAAGGGGGCAACUCCAUCUUGGAACCGAAAAGCUGGUCAAACUUGGUCAUUUAGAGGAAGUAAAAGUCGUAACAAGGUUUCCGUAGGUGAACCUGCGGAAGGAUCAUUACAGUAUUCUUUUGCCAGCGCUUAACUGCGCGGCGAAAAACCUUACACACCGUGUCUUUUUUUGAUACAGAACUCUUGCUUUGGUCUGGCCUAGAGAUAGGCUGGGCCAAAGGCACUACAAAACACAAUUUAAAUUUUUUUAACCAUUAGUCAAUGUUUUUGAAAUUAAUCUUCAAAACUUUCAACAACGGAUCUCUUGGUUCUCGCAUCGAUGAAGAACGCAGCGAAAUGCGAUAAGUAAUAUGAAUUGCAGAUUUUCGUGAAUCAUCGAAUCUUUGAACGCACAUUGCGCCCUCUGGUAUUCCAGAAGGCAUGCCUGUUUGAGCGUCAUUUCUCUCUCAAACCCCCGGGUUUGGUAUUGAGUGACACUCCUCUGACGAGGCGUCUGCUUGAAACGGAUUGCAUGGGUAGCCGCAUGUAACUGUGCUGUCAACCCCUUCAAUGUAUUAGGUUUAUCCACUCGUGAACGGUUACAAACAAGGUUUGCGGGGAAUGGCCCGGCCCUACACAUCCUUUAGUUUGACCCCAAUCAGGGAGGACACCCCCGAACUUAGCCUAUCAUAACGGAGGAAAAAAACCACGGGAUUGCCUUAUACGGCGAGGAACGCAAACCC